GCAGUCGACGCUGAAGCCUGGUGCUUGCCCGGGUGGAUGAGUGGCGAACGGGUGAGUAACACGUGAGUAACCUGCCCCUGACUUCGGGAUAAGCCCGGGAAACUGGGUCUAAUACCGGAUACGACUGCCGGACGCAUGUCUGGUGGUGGAAAGUUUUUUCGGUUGGGGAUGGGCUCGCGGCCUAUCAGUUUGUUGGUGAGGUAAUGGCUCACCAAGACGACGACGGGUAGCCGGCCUGAGAGGGCGACCGGCCACACUGGGACUGAGACACGGCCCAGACUCCUACGGGAGGCAGCAGUGGGGAAUAUUGCACAAUGGGGGAAACCCUGAUGCAGCGACGCAGCGUGCGGGAUGACGGCCUUCGGGUUGUAAACCGCUUUCAGCAGGGAAGAAGCGCAAGUGACGGUACCUGCAGAAGAAGUACCGGCUAACUACGUGCCAGCAGCCGCGGUAAUACGUAGGGUACGAGCGUUGUCCGGAAUUAUUGGGCGUAAAGAGCUCGUAGGUGGUUGGUCACGUCUGCUGUGGAAACGCAACGCUUAACGUUGCGCGUGCAGUGGGUACGGGCUGACUAGAGUGCAGUAGGGGAGUCUGGAAUUCCUGGUGUAGCGGUGAAAUGCGCAGAUAUCAGGAGGAACACCGGUGGCGAAGGCGGGACUCUGGGCUGUAACUGACACUGAGGAGCGAAAGCAUGGGGAGCGAACAGGAUUAGAUACCCUGGUAGUCCAUGCCGUAAACGUUGGGCACUAGGUGUGGGGGGCAUUCCACGUUCUCCGCGCCGUAGCUAACGCAUUAAGUGCCCCGCCUGGGGAGUACGGUCGCAAGGCUAAAACUCAAAGGAAUUGACGGGGGCCCGCACAAGCGGCGGAGCAUGCGGAUUAAUUCGAUGCAACGCGAAGAACCUUACCAAGGCUUGACAUACACCGGACCGUCCUGGAAACAGGUCCUCUUCUUUGAAGCUGGUGUACAGGUGGUUGCAUGGUUGUCGUCAGCUCGUGUCGUGAGAAUGUUUGGGUUAAGUCCCGCAACGAGCGCAACCCUCGUUCUAUGUUG
This 1053-nucleotide ribosomal RNA is filed under the name uncultured bacterium. Its description in RNAcentral is "bacterial SSU rRNA". It matches the Rfam family "Bacterial small subunit ribosomal RNA", at positions 57 to 1117 of the family's 1533-position model. The record is from RNAcentral.